RNAcentral lists this ribosomal RNA (406 nucleotides) under uncultured bacterium. Its description in RNAcentral is "partial 16S ribosomal RNA". It matches the Rfam family "Bacterial small subunit ribosomal RNA", at positions 30 to 526 of the family's 1533-position model. The record is from RNAcentral.
AUUGAACGCUGGCGGCAGGCCUAACACAUGUAAGUCGCACGAGUGGCGGACGGGUGAGUAAUGUCUGGGAAACUGCCUGAUGGAGGGGGAUAACUACUGGAAACGGUAGCUAAUACCGCAUACCAUCGGAUGUGCCCAGAUGGGAUUAGCUAGUAGGUGGGGUAAAGGCUCACCUAGGCGACGAUCCCUAGCUGGGCUGAGAGGAUGACCAGCCACACUGGAACUGAGACACGGUCCAGACUCCUACGUGAGGCGGCAGUGGGGAAUAUUGCACAAUGGGCGCAAGACGGAUGAAGCCAUGGCGCGGGUAUGAAGAAGGCCGUCGGGUUGUAAAGUACUUUCAGCGGGGAUGCGUUACCCGCAGAAGAAGCACCGGCUAAAUCCGUGCCAGCAGCCGCGGUGAUUC